This 491-nucleotide long non-coding RNA is filed under the name Olea europaea (common olive). Its description in RNAcentral is "long non-coding RNA (OEUR_LNC013027)". Lineage: Eukaryota; Viridiplantae; Streptophyta; Magnoliopsida; Lamiales; Oleaceae. The record is from RNAcentral.
UUAUUUUUUAAAGUGUAUUAUAGGUGCAGCAGGAAUUUAUGCCACAUACUUCAUUCACGUACAAACAAAAAAAAGCAACUAGAUUUAGUAGAAGAUACAAUGAUGUAUCAUACCAACAAAAUUUUUGGCACAUUCAAUAAUAAUCAAUGAAGGUUUAUAAAAAACUCACUCUGCAGGAUACUGAAAAAGGUUGAUAAAAAAUAAUGAAGGUUUAUAAAUAAAACUUACUCUGCAGGAUACUGAAAAAGGUCGAUAAAAAACAAUGAAGGUUUAUAAAAAAUAAAAAACACUUACUCUGCAGGAUACUGGAAAAGGUUGAUAAAAAACAGCUUGACGUUGUCUAGUAAUUCAGGAGCAGCAUCAGCCACAAUUCUUGAAACUUUAUAACUUAUCUGUAAAUAAAAAUUGAGGCCAGGGAAGAGAUUAGAAGUGGUGGCAUGCUUGGAAGAAACAUAAUGAACACAAAAUAGAGAACAUUACACUGAUCAAGU